Molecule: ribosomal RNA, 251 nt
Filed under: uncultured bacterium
Lineage: Bacteria
Description: partial 16S ribosomal RNA
Rfam family: Bacterial small subunit ribosomal RNA
Source: RNAcentral
CGUAGGGUGCGAGCGUUGUCCGGAAUUACUGGGCGUAAAGAGUUCGUAGGCGGUUUGUCGCGUCGUUCGUGAAAACUUGGGGCUUAACUCCAAGCGUGCGGGCGAUACGGGCAGACUUGAGUACUACAGGGGAGACUGGAAUUCCUGGUGUAGCGGUGAAAUGCGCAGAUAUCAGGAGGAACACCGGUGGCGAAGGCGGGUCUCUGGGUAGUAACUGACGCUGAGGAACGAAAGCGUGGGUAGCGAACAGG